Molecule: transfer RNA, 72 nt
Filed under: Capra hircus (goat)
Lineage: Eukaryota; Metazoa; Chordata; Mammalia; Artiodactyla; Bovidae
Also listed under: 1 other name
Rfam family: tRNA
About the family: Transfer RNA (tRNA) molecules are approximately 80 nucleotides in length.
Source: Rfam by way of RNAcentral
UCUCUGGUCGCUCAGAUGGUAAAGAAUCUGCCUGCAAUGCAGGAGGCACGGGUUCAAUCCCUGGCUUGGGAA